UGGCAAAGUCGUCUAACUUUAAUGAUGUUCACAUUUGCCUAGAUGGUUGGCGAUAGAAAUAAGCAAUUCUUCGUGCGUAUUCAAAUCUCUUUAUUUUGAAUAAGGCGUCGAACAAGUUGAUGUGUU
Small nucleolar RNA from Papaver somniferum (opium poppy), 126 nucleotides. NCBI's taxonomy places the organism in Eukaryota, Viridiplantae, Streptophyta, Magnoliopsida, Ranunculales, Papaveraceae. The record is from RefSeq and is a predicted model, not a curated record.